RNAcentral lists this ribosomal RNA (467 nucleotides) under uncultured bacterium. RNAcentral describes it as "partial 16S ribosomal RNA". It matches the Rfam family "Bacterial small subunit ribosomal RNA", at positions 28 to 507 of the family's 1533-position model. The record is from RNAcentral.
GACGAACGCUGGCGGCGGGCCUAACACAUGCAAGUCGAGCGGAAAGGCCCUGCUUGUGCGGGGAGCUCGAGUGGCGAACGGGUGAGUUACACGUGAGUCACCUGCCCUUGAGUUGGGGAUAACUUCAGGAAACUGGUACUACUACCGACUAGGAGCUCCUGCUGCAUGGUGGGGGUUGGAACGUUUGGGCGGGUGGGGAUGGAGUCCCGGUUUAUCAGUUGGUUGGUGGGGUAGCGACAUAGCAAGGCUUUGAAGGGUAGCCGGCCUGGAAGGGUGACCGGCACAGGAGUACUGCGAUACGGGCCAGAGUCCUACGGGAGGCAGCAGAGGGGAAGAUUGACCAAUGAGCCGAAGCCUGAUGCAGCAACGCCGCGUUCGGGAUGCCGGCCUUCUUGUUGUAAAGCGCAUUCGGCUGUUACGAUGCGUGAGUGACGUUACUGGGUAAAGAAGCACCGGCUAACUACGUG